RNAcentral lists this ribosomal RNA (253 nucleotides) under uncultured bacterium. RNAcentral's name for it is "partial 16S ribosomal RNA". It matches the Rfam family "Bacterial small subunit ribosomal RNA", at positions 524 to 776 of the family's 1533-position model. The record is from RNAcentral.
UACGUAGGGGGCCAGCGUUGUCCGGAAUCAUUGGGCGUAAAGCGCGCGUAGGCGGCCAGAUAAGUCCGGUGUGAAAGUCACAGGCUCAACCUGUGAAUGCCGCUGGAAACUGUCUGGCUAGAGUCCGGAAGGGGCGAGUGGAAUUCCUGGUGUAGCGGUGAAAUGCGCAGAUAUCAGGAGGAACACCAAUGGCGAAGGCAGCUCGCUGGGACGGUACUGACGCUGAGGCGCGAAAGCGUGGGGAGCGAACAGG